AGAGUUUGAUCCUGGCUCAGAUUGAACGCUGGCGGCACGCCUUACACAUGCAAGUCGAACGGUAACAGGUCUUCGGACGCUGACGAGUGGCGAACGGGUGAGUAAUACAUCGGAACGUGCCCAGUCGUGGGGGAUAACUACUCGAAAGAGUAGCUAAUACCGCAUACGAUCUGAGGAUGAAAGCGGGGGACCUUCGGGCCUCGCGCGAUUGGAGCGGCCGAUGGCAGAUUAGGUAGUUGGUGGGAUAAAAGCUUACCAAGCCGACGAUCUGUAGCUGGUCUGAGAGGACGACCAGCCACACUGGGACUGAGACACGGCCCAGACUCCUACGGGAGGCAGCAGUGGGGAAUUUUGGACAAUGGGCGAAAGCCUGAUCCAGCAAUGCCGCGUGCAGGAUGAAGGCCUUCGGGUUGUAAACUGCUUUUGUACGGAACGAAAAAGCUCCUUCUAAUACAGGGGGCCCAUGACGGUACCGUAAGAAUAAGCACCGGCUAACUACGUGCCAGCAGCCGCGGUAAUACGUAGGGUGCGAGCGUUAAUCGGAAUUACUGGGCGUAAAGCGUGUGCAGGCGGUUAUGUAAGACAGAUGUGAAAUCCCCGGGCUCACCUGGGAACUGCAUUUGUGACUGCAUGG
RNAcentral lists this ribosomal RNA (634 nucleotides) under uncultured bacterium. RNAcentral's name for it is "bacterial SSU rRNA". It matches the Rfam family "Bacterial small subunit ribosomal RNA", at positions 8 to 640 of the family's 1533-position model. The record is from RNAcentral.